This is a non-coding RNA of Gossypium hirsutum (cotton), 107 nucleotides long. The record is from Rfam. Lineage: Eukaryota; Viridiplantae; Streptophyta; Magnoliopsida; Malvales; Malvaceae.
AGCCCAUGGUGAGGGCAUCUUGUCAAGAGAUUCUUGUAUCUCUCCCAUGCAUCAUAGAGUGUCUCUAGAUUCAUCUGCACAAAAGAAGAGAUAUCAUUCUUCAAUUU